This 50-nucleotide transfer RNA is filed under the name Koenigia hookeri. RNAcentral's name for it is "partial tRNA-Leu". The record is from RNAcentral. Lineage: Eukaryota; Viridiplantae; Streptophyta; Magnoliopsida; Caryophyllales; Polygonaceae.
AAAUCCGUCGACUUUAUAAAUCGUGAGGGUUCAAGUCCCUCUAUCCCCCA